Long non-coding RNA from Corvus hawaiiensis (hawaiian crow), 697 nucleotides. RefSeq lists it as uncharacterized. NCBI's taxonomy places the organism in Eukaryota, Metazoa, Chordata, Aves, Passeriformes, Corvidae. The record is from RefSeq and is a predicted model, not a curated record. The transcript is spliced from 2 exons.
GGCUGCACAAUGAGAAAGCCUUUCCGAGGGUUUCUCGAGCGUUACUGGAAGGUCAGACGAAGGUCAGCGCAAGGACACGGCUCCUACUUUCCCCACCGUCAGCAAGGGCGGGUGCGCGGGGCGGACGUGGAUUUGCCAGCUCCGGGGGUAGCCAUGGCCGGGACGGCUUCAUCUGCAUGGGAACAGCCAUAGGAAUCUUGAUUAAUCAGGGAGAGAAGUGGAGACUGGCUGCCAGGCAGAUGCCCUAAACAAGAGUAACUUAUCAGCUCUGUUUCCAAGAUGAGACAUCUGUCACCACAUUGCACAGAGCCAGCCAAGCCACUUGCUCCUCACCAGCACAGAAGCACGAGGGCUUCCCUCUCCCCAAAGGAAGCCAUAGAAAUAGCCACCGUAUAAUUUGCAGAAUUUCUUCUAGAAAAGGCUUUGCUUGGGCUAAAGAAAGCAUUGCACCCAGAAUGCUUCGGGGGACAGUGCUGGACAGGAGCAGGAGCCAGCAUGCAGCUGCAUUCCCAGGCCCCUGUAUUUGCCAGCGAGCCGGCCCCAGCGGCAGCGCAGGGAGGUCCCCAGCCCGGAGGAACACCAAGUGCUGUGGACAGCAAGGAACCACUCUGCCAGCACACACACGGCAAAGCCCGAUGUGGUUAAUCCCUCCAGUUUAUUAUGUAAUAAAACGCUUUCCAGACCUGUUAAAAUUUAA